GCCCCUUGUGAUGUAGCCACACAACUCAGCAUCCAUCUCUCUGUUUCUUAUACAAAUCCUUCCUAGGAGACAUGCUCUGAACAUUCCAGCUCUGCAUGGCACUCUGAUCCUUCUAUGGUGGUAGGGCAGUCCAAGUAAUUCAAAAGGUGUGGGAAUGGUGCCACCUGUGUUUAGAUGUGGGGAAGAAAUGUCCACUUCCCAGGCUACACAGUUCAAUCACUGUCUGAGUCUCCACCAAGAGCUUCCUCAGGAAAAGAGUGCCCUGAAGUUCCCAGCUGAAUGCAGCCAGCUGUCCCCUCUAUAGGACCUGAGCUCAGCAAGGUGGUAUCGCUAGUAAUUGAAGGACUAGGUUGUGCUGUAACAGUAGGAAUGCUUGAACGUGGGAAGGGGGCAUGUGGGUCUCUAGAAGACUCCCUUCUCUCAUUUUUGUUGCUCUGGGUUGAGAAUCCUAGCAUAGCUUUGAGACCCCACGCUUUUGGGGAGAGGGAGUUUUACAGCUGAGAUAUCCCUCCAGCUUCUCAGAUCUUUCUGCGUCUUGACCUUUCUUAUCAGGCUCUAUGUGGUGUCUUCUGUAAAUUCUUGGUUAUAGCAUUUCAGUCCAGCUAGCUUUCAGUUGGUUAUUCAGGUUGAUUGCCAUAUAAUUUAGCUGUAAAUCUGGUUUGACACUGGGAGCAGUUGAGUUUAGCUUCCACCUACUCUGCAGCCAUCUUGUAAUCCAUAUAUCAUUUUUUUUUC
Molecule: long non-coding RNA, 735 nt
Organism: Pipistrellus kuhlii (Kuhl's pipistrelle)
Lineage: Eukaryota; Metazoa; Chordata; Mammalia; Chiroptera; Vespertilionidae
Exons: 2
Source: RefSeq, a predicted model, not a curated record